GUCCAUGUCAUUAAUAUUCCUAGGUAAAAAUGUCCAUGUCCUCUUUAUAGGAAAAAUAUUAAUGAAUCAAAUCAUUUAAGUUUAAACAAUGGAAACGUAUAAGAGUUGUUUAUUUAUAUUUUUAAUAAAAUGUAUGUCCCCAGACUAAUUUUCCUAGGGAAUCAUGUCCAUGUCAUUAAUAUUCCUAGGUAAAAUCGUAUAUGCCCUUUUUUUGUAAUGUUAAUAAAAAUGAUAUAUUUUGAUAUUGUUAUAUA
Molecule: long non-coding RNA, 254 nt
Filed under: Mytilus galloprovincialis (Mediterranean mussel)
Lineage: Eukaryota; Metazoa; Mollusca; Bivalvia; Mytilida; Mytilidae
Source: RNAcentral